RNAcentral lists this ribosomal RNA (874 nucleotides) under uncultured bacterium. RNAcentral's name for it is "bacterial SSU rRNA". It matches the Rfam family "Bacterial small subunit ribosomal RNA", at positions 8 to 916 of the family's 1533-position model. The record is from RNAcentral.
AGGGUUUGAUUAUGGCUCAGAUUGAACGCUGGCGGUAUGGCUAAAACAUGCAAGUCGAGCGCGAACGCCCUUCGGGGUUAUUAGAGCGGCGUAAGGGCGAGGAAUCCAUUUCUACGUACCCCAAGGUCGAGGAUAGCUCAGGGAAACUUGAGGUAAUACUCGAUGUGGUGCUUCGGCAUCAAAGGCUUGCUGCCUUGGGAGCGGGGAAUGACCUAUCAGGUUGUUGGUGAGGUAAUGGCUCACCAAGCCUUAGACGGGUAGCGGGUGUGAGAGCACGACCCGCCGCAUCGGGACUAAGACACUGCCCGGACUCCUACGGGAGGCUGCAGUAACGAAUCUUCCGCAAUGCACGAAAGUGUGACGGGGCAAUACCGCGUGUGGGAUGAAGCCCUUCGGGGUGUAAACCACUGUCAGGGUUCAGGAAAAAAAUGACCAGACCCAAAGGAAGGGCCGGCUAACUCUGUGCCAGCAGCCGCGGUAAUACAGAGGGCCCGAGCGUUAAUCGGAAUCACUGGGCUUAAAGCGUACGCAGGCGGACUUGUAGGCAUUUUGUGAAAUCCCUCGGCUCAACCGGGGAAUUGCAGAGUGAACCACAAGUCUUGAGGCGAGUAGAGGCGGUCGGAACGAUAGGUGGAGCGGUGAAAUGCGUAGAUAUCUAUCGGAACGCCAAAGGUGAAGACAGGCCGCUGGGCUCGUCCUGACGCUGAGGUACGAAAGCGUGGGUAGCGAACGGGAUUAGAUACCCCGGUAGUCCACGCCGUAAACGAUGCACACUANGUCGGGGAGGUUUGACGCCCUCCUGGCCGAAGCAAAAGUGUUAAGUGUGCCGCCUGGGGAGUACGGUCGCAAGGCUAAAACUCAAAUGAAUUGACGG